AAAACGACUCUCGGCAACGGAUAUCUCGGCUCUCGCAUCGAUGAAGAACGCAGCGAAAUGCGAUACUUGGUGUGAAUUGCAGGAUCCCGCGAACCAUCGAGUUUUUGAACGCAAGUUGCGCCCGAAGCCUUCUGGCCGAGGGCACGUCUGCCUGGGUGUCACUCU
RNAcentral lists this ribosomal RNA (165 nucleotides) under Euphorbia peplus. Its description in RNAcentral is "5.8S ribosomal RNA". It matches the Rfam family "5.8S ribosomal RNA". Rfam says of the family: 5.8S ribosomal RNA (5.8S rRNA) is a component of the large subunit of the eukaryotic ribosome. The record is from RNAcentral. Lineage: Eukaryota; Viridiplantae; Streptophyta; Magnoliopsida; Malpighiales; Euphorbiaceae.